Molecule: ribosomal RNA, 843 nt
Filed under: uncultured bacterium
Lineage: Bacteria
Description: bacterial SSU rRNA
Rfam family: Bacterial small subunit ribosomal RNA
Source: RNAcentral
ACGCUGGCGGCAGGCUUAACACAUGCAAGUCGAACGGUAACAGGGAUUAGCUUGCUAAUUUGCUGACGAGUGGCGGACGGGUGAGUAAUGCUUGGGAAUCUGGCUUAUGGAGGGGGAUAACUACGGGAAACUGUAGCUAAUACCGCGUAAUAUCGGAAGAUUAAAGGGUGGGACUUUCGAGCCACCUGCCAUAAGAUGAGCCCAAGUGGGAUUAGGUAGUUGGUUAGGUAAAGGCUGACCAAGCCGACGAUCUCUAGCUGGUCUGAGAGGAUGACCAGCCACACUGGAACUGAGACACGGUCCAGACUCCUACGGGAGGCAGCAGUGGGGAAUAUUGCACAAUGGGGAGAACCCUGAUGCAGCCAUGCCGCGUGAAUGAAGAAGGCCUUCGGGUUGUAAAGUUCUUUCGGUGACGAGGAAGGUUGAUAGGUUAAUAGCCUAUCAAAUUGACGUUAAUCACAGAAGAAGCACCGGCUAACUCCGUGCCAGCAGCCGCGGUAAUACGGGGGGUGCGAGCGUUAAUCGGAAUAACUGGGCGUAAAGGGCACGCAGGCGGUGACUUAAGUGAGAUGUGAAAGCCCCGAGCUUAACUUGGGAAUUGCAUUUCAUACUGGGUCGCUAGAGUACUUUAGGGAGGGGUAGAAUUCCACGUGUAGCGGUGAAAUGCGUAGAGAUGUGGAGGAAUACCGAAGGCGAAGGCAGCCCCUUGGGAAUGUACUGACGCUCAUGUGCGAAAGCGUGGGGAGCAAACAGGAUUAGAUACCCUGGUAGUCCACGCUGUAAACGAUGUCGAUUUGGGGAUUGGGCUUUGAGCUUGGUGCCCGUAGCUAACGUGAUAAAUCG